UACGUAGGGUGCAAGCGUUGUCCGGAUUUAUUGGGCGUAAAGAGCUCGUAGGCGGUCCGUCACGUCGGAUGUGAAAACCCAGUGCUCAACACUGGGCCUGCAUUCGAUACGGGCGGACUUGAGUGUUGUAGGGGAGACUGGAACUCCUGGUGUAGCGGUGAAAUGCGCAGAUAUCAGGAAGAACACCGAUGGCGAAGGCAGGUCUCUGGGCAACUACUGACGCUGAGGAGCGAAAGCGUGGGGAG
This 245-nucleotide ribosomal RNA is filed under the name uncultured Actinomycetales bacterium. Its description in RNAcentral is "partial 16S ribosomal RNA". It matches the Rfam family "Bacterial small subunit ribosomal RNA", at positions 524 to 768 of the family's 1533-position model. Lineage: Bacteria; Bacillati; Actinomycetota; Actinomycetes; Actinomycetales. The record is from RNAcentral.